GUGAAUCAUCAAAUUUUUGAACGCAAAUUGCACUCUUUGGUAUUCCGGGGAGUAUGCCUGUUUGAGGGUCAGUUUAAAUAAAAAGCGGUGUGGGGGCUGCCUUGCGUGGUGACGCACCGGAUGUGGGUCGGCUUGACUUUGGUUAAGAGACGGAAAAUUGGGUAUGAUGUGUAGCGAACGGAGUUAAAGGAUCUUACGGACGUUUGCGAUAUCGAAUACUAGGUGU
RNAcentral lists this unclassified non-coding RNA (226 nucleotides) under Glomeromycetes sp. Its description in RNAcentral is "partial contains 5.8S ribosomal RNA and internal transcribed spacer 2". The stretch from base 1 to 71 matches the Rfam family "5.8S ribosomal RNA", at positions 84 to 154 of the family's 154-position model. Lineage: Eukaryota; Fungi; Glomeromycota; Glomeromycetes. The record is from RNAcentral.